UACGGAAGGCAGCAGUGGGGAAUAUUGCACAAUGGGCGAAAGCCUGAUGCAGCUAUGCCGCGUGUAUGAAGAAGGCCUUAGGGUUGUAAAGUACUUUCAUCGGGGAGGAAAAACAAAACUAAUAAUUUUAUUUCUUGACGUUACCCGAAAAAGAAGCACCGGCUAACUCCGUGCCAGCAGCCGCGGUAAUACGGAGGGUGCUAGCGUUAAUCAGAAUUACUGGGCGUAAAGAGCACGUAGGUGGUUUUUUUAAAGUCAGAUGUGAAGUCCCUGGGCUUAACCUAGGAACUGCAUUUUGAAACUGAAAUACUAGAGUAUCGUAGAGGGAGGUAGAAUUCUAGGUGUAGCGGUGAAAUGCGUAGAUAUCUGGAGGAAUACCUGUGGCGAAAGCGGCCUCCUAAACGAAUACUGACACUGAGGUGCGAAAGCGUGGGGAGCAAACAGGGAUUAGGAUACC
Molecule: ribosomal RNA, 457 nt
Filed under: uncultured bacterium
Lineage: Bacteria
Description: bacterial SSU rRNA
Rfam family: Bacterial small subunit ribosomal RNA
Source: RNAcentral